RNAcentral lists this transfer RNA (72 nucleotides) under Embiotoca jacksoni (black perch). Its description in RNAcentral is "tRNA-Trp". It matches the Rfam family "tRNA". From Rfam's summary of the family: Transfer RNA (tRNA) molecules are approximately 80 nucleotides in length. Their secondary structure includes four short double-helical elements and three loops (D, anti-codon, and T loops). Lineage: Eukaryota; Metazoa; Chordata; Actinopteri; Embiotocidae. The record is from RNAcentral.
AAGGACUUAGGAUAACACUAAAACCAAGAGCCUUCAAAGCCCUAAACGGGGGUGAAAAUCCCCCAGUCCUUG